GACGGAAGGUGCAAGCGUUGCUCGGAAUCACUGGGCGUAAAGGGUGCGUAGGCGGCCGUGCAAGUCUGGCGUGAAAGCCCCGGGCUCAGCCCGGGAAGUGCGCUCGAAACUGCACGGCUCGAGUGCCGGAGGGGAGAGUGGAAUUCCUGGUGUAGCGGUGAAAUGCGUAGAGAUCGGGAGGAACACCAGAGGCGAAGGCGGCGACCUGGACAAGUACUGACACUCAACUACGAAAGCGUGGGGAGCAAACAGG
RNAcentral lists this ribosomal RNA (253 nucleotides) under uncultured bacterium. RNAcentral's name for it is "partial 16S ribosomal RNA". It matches the Rfam family "Bacterial small subunit ribosomal RNA", at positions 524 to 776 of the family's 1533-position model. The record is from RNAcentral.